GAUGAACGCUGGCGGCGUGCCUAAUACAUGCAAGUCGAACGAACAGUCUAUACCGUUGCUUGCUACACGAUAGCCUGUGAGUUGCGAAUGGGUGAGUAACGCGUAGCUAACAUGCCUGGUAGCGGGGGAUAACUCUUGGACACGUUAGCUAAUACCGCUUAAUAUUCAUUAUUGCAUGAUAAAUGAUUGAAAGAUGCUAUUGCAUCACUACAACAUGGACCCGCGUUGUAUUAGCUAGUAGGUGAGGUAACGGCUCCCCUAGGCGACGAUACAUAGCCGACCUUGGAGGGGGGUCGGCCACACUGGGAACGGGACACGGGCCAGACUCCCACGGGGGGGAGCAGUAGGGAAACUUCGGCAAAGGGCGGAAAGCUUAACGGGCAAAGCCGGGGGGGGGAAGAAAGGUCUCGGAUCGGAAAGAUUCGUUGAUAAGGGAGAAAGGAUUGUGGAGUGAAAAGUGCACGCUGUGACGGUAUCUAAUCAGAAAGCGACGGCUAACUACGUG
RNAcentral lists this ribosomal RNA (505 nucleotides) under uncultured bacterium. RNAcentral's name for it is "partial 16S ribosomal RNA". It matches the Rfam family "Bacterial small subunit ribosomal RNA", at positions 28 to 507 of the family's 1533-position model. The record is from RNAcentral.